GUUAUUAUAGAUGGAUAGAGAUGCCUGGUGUCUGGGAGUGUAGUGACAGGUUAUUAUAGAUGGAUAGUGAUGCCUGGUGUCUGGGAGUGUAGUGACAGGUUAUUAUAGAUGGAUAGAGAUGCCUGGUGUCUGGGAGUGACAGGUUAUUAUAGAUGGAUAGAGAUGCCUGGUGUCUGGGAGUGACAGGUUAUUAUAGAUGGAUAGUGAUGCCUGGUGUCUGGGAGUGACAGGUUAUUAUAGAUGGAUAGAGAUGCCUGGUGUCUGGGAGUGACAGGUUAUUAUAGAUGGAUAGAGAUGUCUGGUGUCUGGGAGUGACAGGUUAUUAUAGAUGGAUAGAGAUGCCUGGUGUCUGGGAGUGACAGGUUAUUAUAGAUGGAUAGAGAUGCCUGGUGUCUGGGAGUGACAGGUUAUUAUAGAUGGAUAGAGAUGCCUGGUGUCUGGGAGUGUAGUGACAGGUUAUUAUAGAUGGAUAGAGAUGCCUGGUGUCUGGGAGUGACAGGUUAUUAUAGAUGGAUAGAGAUGCCUGGUGUCUGGGAGUGACAGGUUAUUAUAGAUGGAUAGAGAUGCCUGGUGUCUGGGAGUGACAGGUUAUUAUAGAUGGAUAGUGAUGCCUGGUGUCUGGGAGUGACAGGUUAUUAUAGAUGGAUAGAGAUGCCUGGUGUCUGGGAGUGACAGGUUAUUAUAGAUGGAUAGAGAUGCCUGGUGUCUGGGAGUGACAGGUUAUUAUAGAUGGAUAGAGAUGCCUGGUGUCUGGGAGUGACAGGUUAUUAUAGAUGGAUAGAGAUGCCUGGUGUCUGGGAGUGACAGGUUAUUAUAGAUGGAUAGAGAUGCCUGGUGUCUGGGAGUGUAGUGACAGGUUAUUAUAGAUGGAUAGAGAUGCCUGGUGUCUGGGAGUGACAGGUUAUUAUAGAUGGAUAGAGAUGCCUGGUGUCUGGGAGUGUAGUGACAGGUUAUUAUAGAUGGAUAGAGAUGCCUGGUGUCUGGGAGUGACAGGUUAUUAUAGAUGGAUAGAGAUGCCUGGUGUCUGGGAGUGACAGGUUAUUAUAGAUGGAUAGAGAUGCCUGGUGUCUGGGAGUGUAGUGACAGGUUAUUAUAGAUGGAUAGAGAUGCCUGGUGUCUGGGAGUGUAGUGACAGGUUAUUAUAGAUGGAUAGAGAUGCCUGGUGUCUGGGAGUGACAGGUUAUUAUAGAUGGAUAGAGAUGCCUGGUGUCUGGGAGUGACAGGUUAUUAUAGAUGGAUAGAGAUGCCUGGUGUCUGGGAGUGACAGGUUAUUAUAGAUGGAUAGAGAUGCCUGGUGUCUGGGAGUGACAGGUUAUUAUAGAUGGAUAGAGAUGCCUGGUGUCUGGGAGUGUAGUGACAGGUUAUUAUAGAUGGAUAGAGAUGCCUGGUGUCUGGGAGUGACAGGUUAUUAUAGAUGGAUAGAGAUGCCUGGUGUCUGGGAGUGACAGGUUAUUAUAGAUGGAUAGAGAUGCCUGGUGUCUGGGAGUGACAGGUUAUUAUAGAUGGAUAGAGAUGCCUGGUGUCUGGGAGUGUAGUGACAGGUUAUUAUAGAUGGAUAGAGAUGCCUGGUGUCUGGGAGUGACAGGUUAUUAUAGAUGGAUAGAGAUGCCUGGUGUCUGGGAGUGACAGGUUAUUAUAGAUGGAUAGAGAUGCCUGGUGUCUGGGAGUGACAGGUUAUUAUAGAUGGAUAGAGAUGCCUGGUGUCUGGGAGUGACAGGUUAUUAUAGAUGGAUAGUGAUGCCUGGUGUCUGGGAGUGACAGGUUAUUAUAGAUGGAUAGAGAUGCCUGGUGUCUGGGAGUGACAGGUUAUUAUAGAUGGAUAGAGAUGCCUGGUGUCUGGGAGUGUAGUGACAGGUUAUUAUAGAUGGAUAGAGAUGCCUGGUGUCUGGGAGUGACAGGUUAUUAUAGAUGGAUAGAGAUGCCUGGUGUCUGGGAGUGACAGGUUAUUAUAGAUGGAUAGAGAUGCCUGGUGUCUGGGAGUGACAGGUUAUUAUAGAUGGAUAGAGAUGCCUGGUGUCUGGGAGUGACAGGUUAUUAUAGAUGGAUAGAGAUGCCUGGUGUCUGGGAGUGUAGUGACAGGUUAUUAUAGAUGGAUAGAGAUGCCUGGUGUCUGGGAGUGACAGGUUAUUAUAGAUGGAUAGUGAUGCCUGGUGUCUGGGAGUGACAGGUUAUUAUAGAUGGAUAGAGAUGCCUGGUGUCUGGGAGUGACAGGUUAUUAUAGAUGGAUAGAGAUGCCUGGUGUCUGGGAGUGACAGGUUAUUAUAGAUGGAUAGAGAUGUCUGGUGUCUGGGAGUGACAGGUUAUUAUAGAUGGAUAGAGAUGCCUGGUGUCUGGGAGUGACAGGUUAUUAUAGAUGGAUAGAGAUGCCUGGUGUCUGGGAGUGACAGGUUAUUAUAGAUGGAUAGAGAUGUCUGGUGUCUGGGAGUGACAGGUUAUUAUAGAUGGAUAGAGAUGCCUGGUGUCUGGGAGUGACAGGUUAUUAUAGAUGGAUAGAGAUGCCUGGUGUCUGGGAGUGACAGGUUAUUAUAGAUGGAUAGAGAUGCCUGGUGUCUGGGAGUGACAGGUUAUUAUAGAUGGAUAGAGAUGCCUGGUGUCUGGGAGUGUAGUGACAGGUUAUUAUAGAUGGAUAGUGAUGUCUGGUGUCUGGGAGUGUAGUGACAGGUUAUUAUAGAUGGAUAGAGAUGCCUGGUGUCUGGGAGUGUAGUGACAGGUUAUUAUAGAUGGAUAGAGAUGCCUGGUGUCUGGGAGUGACAGGUUAUUAUAGAUGGAUAGAGAUGCCUGGUGUCUGGGA
This is a long non-coding RNA of Oncorhynchus keta (chum salmon), 2791 nucleotides long. RefSeq lists it as uncharacterized. The record is from RefSeq and is a predicted model, not a curated record. The transcript is spliced from 4 exons. NCBI's taxonomy places the organism in Eukaryota, Metazoa, Chordata, Actinopteri, Salmoniformes, Salmonidae.